Ochotona princeps (American pika) is the source of this 824-nucleotide long non-coding RNA. RefSeq lists it as uncharacterized. Lineage: Eukaryota; Metazoa; Chordata; Mammalia; Lagomorpha; Ochotonidae. The record is from RefSeq and is a predicted model, not a curated record. The transcript has 4 exons.
GCUGCAAUUCCUGGAGCUGAGAUGAUCUGAAGUCAGGAGCCAAGAGCUUCCUCUGAGUUUCCCAAGGUGGUGUAGGUGCCCAUGGAUUUGAGCCAUCCUCUGCUGCCUUACCAGGUCAUUAGCAGAAAGCUCAGAUUUUAAGACUGUUACAAGAAGCACAGUGCAGAAACCUCAACAAGAAACACACUGUAGUUCAGUUUAAAUACGAAACUAAGAUUCACAAUCUGUACUAAGUACAGAGAAAAACAGAAACAGAGAUUUUCUGUCUGCCAUCUCCCUCCAGAAUUGUUCACAACAGCCAAAGGUGUGUCAAAAAGAAGCCAGAAAUUAGGAACUCCAUCCAGGUCCUGGUAGAUUGCGGCAUCUGAGCCAUCAUCUACUGCCUUCCAAAUUAAUAACAGCUCCAUGUCCUCUUCCUUAAGGUUUAGUCACAGAAGACUUUAAACUGUUUCAGCUUCUUCUGUUCACAACCUCUCUACACUGCAGCAUAGCUAAUGUCAGCCUCUUUUGGCUGGCAGUCUGAGAAAAAAUGCUGAGUAAGGAAGUCACAGAAAAAAAUCUGUAUUGGUGAGACGGCUUUACACGGAGAUGACUUGUAAGCCGUGACUACAUCUGCAUAGCUCCAUUUAUCAACACUGACAAUUCCUGCUCUUCAGCCUGAGCCACCAAGUAAAAAUAUCGUAAAUACAAACUAACUAGGAGCAAAUUUCACCUGUUCUACAAUUUAAAACAAAACUGUCCAUCAGACUGAAAGCUGACCUUCAGUCAUCCUACAGAAAUUUAUAAAAAAAUUUAUUUCUUAUGGUGAAAAUUUUGUGGUUUUG